This 1473-nucleotide unclassified non-coding RNA is filed under the name Hevea brasiliensis (rubber tree). Lineage: Eukaryota; Viridiplantae; Streptophyta; Magnoliopsida; Malpighiales; Euphorbiaceae. The record is from RNAcentral.
UAAGAACUGUGAAGUAUGUAUAAAUGCGCAUAAUUUUGUUGCAAGGCUAAAAGCAAGAAUGUUUUUAUGACAUUCAUGAUUCAGUUUUACUUGAAAACCACUUGCAGAACAGACUCUUUAAUCCUCAAGCCAACAAUCUGUUCAUUACGGUGGCAUAGAUUAACAAUUGACAAAUACACAAACUCAAAUGCCUGUUGAGCCGAAUCCUCCUUCACCUCUCACGGUCGCAUCCAGAUCCUCAACUUCCACAACAUCAGGGGUCAUGAUCUUCUGGAUAAUCAACUGGGCAAUUCGAUCUCCCACUUUGACCUCAAAAUCCACAUCCGAAUGAUUAAACAAUAUAACCCCAACUGGACCCCUAUAAUCAGCAUCUAUCACACCUGCUCCAACAUCAAUCGAGUGCUUCCAUGCCAAUCCCGAUCUCGGCGCAAUGCGAGCAUACGUUCCUUCAGGUAUGGCAAUGCUCAGAUCUGUUGGGAUAAGAGCUUUACCUCUACCAGGCACUUUAGCCUCAGUUGCACUGGAGAGAUCAUAGCCCGCAGAUAGAGGAGAAGCUCUGGAGGGCAAAAUAGCUUUUUCAGAGAGCUUUUUAACCCUAAAUAGAGAGAUGGGAGUUUCUGAGACUUCAUGAACGCCAUUCUGUUGAAGCUUGGGGAUCUUUGGAGCCGGCUCUCUGAUUUCAGGGCUAUUGUCUUGAACAGCUUGAGCCAUACUGAAGAGUCGAAAAACUAGAUUGCAGCAAGAUAGUGAUAUGGGAAGAGUGGAUUUUGAGGGUAAGGAACGCGUUGGAUUUGAAUGGUUAAAUAGGAGAGGAAACUGCAAAGAAUUUCAAAAUAAUGGCGCCAAGGUUCCCGCCAUCUGCUCUGUGAAUGUUGCUAACGUAAGCCUGUUGGGGAUAUCGUUUUAACCUACCCACCUUUGUUUUUAUGCAUUUAUCUCUCCCAUUAACCUAUAUAGAAUACUCUCUCCUCAGUCGCCUUUCUCUCAUAUCGUUACAAUCAAUCAAAAGCCAAAGAAGAGUUUUCUCAUCUCUCAUUUCUGGUACCGAUUCUGCCACAAACAUCUCUGUUGAGCCUUUCACUGGACCUUCAAAGAAGGGUUGGCGAGGCACCUAUCAGUAGAGAAUCAACUUUGCAAGGAAACAAUUCCGGACAUCCUAGUACUCUUUGGCAGCCCAAUUGAUUUCAGGUCAAAGAACCUCUGAGAUGGGUUGGAAUUAGCCUCAGAAGGAUAUGGAUAAUCAGUGAGAAACUAAUUUGGUUAGCCCACCAUAUCCCAAUUAUGAAUUAUAAUGGCAAGCCAGUGAAAAUCCCUUUAUUAAGAGGCAGCCAUCUGCAGUUCUGGAUAGGGAACAAGAACCCAAGAAGCUUUCUCAGCCCUCGCCAGAGAAUAUAGCUCUUUACUCUAAGGAUCCUCAGUUUGAAAUUCAAGGUCCUUUUUCUGAUAGUAAUAUUAUUGGAUGGUUUGAGGCUG